GGCCAGACUCCUACGGGAGGCAGCAGUGGGGGAUAUUGCACAAUGGGGGGAACCCUGAUGCAGCGACGCCGCGUGGGUGAAGAAGCGCCUCGGCGCGCAAAGCCCUGUCAGCAGGGAAGAAAAUGACGGUACCUGAAGAAGAAGCCCCGGCUAACUACGUGCCAGCAGCCGCGGUAAUACGUAGGGGGCAAGCGUUAUCCGGAUUUACUGGGUGUAAAGGGGGCGCAGACGGCGAUGCAAGCCAGGAGUGAAAGCCCGGGGCCCAACCCCGGGACUGCUCUUGGAACUGCGUGGCUGGAGUGCAGGAGGGGCAGGCGGAAUUCCUGGUGUAGCGGUGAAAUGCGUAGAUAUCAGGAGGAACACCGGUGGCGAAGGCGGCCUGCUGGACUGCAACUGACGUUGAGGCCCGAAAGCGUGGGGAGCAAACAGGAUUAGAUACCCUUGUACG
RNAcentral lists this ribosomal RNA (448 nucleotides) under uncultured bacterium. RNAcentral describes it as "partial 16S ribosomal RNA". It matches the Rfam family "Bacterial small subunit ribosomal RNA", at positions 329 to 793 of the family's 1533-position model. The record is from RNAcentral.